RNAcentral lists this non-coding RNA (51 nucleotides) under unclassified sequences. The record is from RNAcentral.
CCUGAUUCGUCAGGAUGAUAUGUGGGUGAAUACAGUCACUCGAAUCGAAAC